Molecule: non-coding RNA, 395 nt
Organism: Chelonoidis abingdonii (Abingdon island giant tortoise)
Lineage: Eukaryota; Metazoa; Chordata; Testudines; Testudinidae
Source: RefSeq, a predicted model, not a curated record
UACUGCAGAGAAUAGCUGUAGUAUAACCCCAUCCACUAUCCAUGUCCCAUGUCUUUACUGCAAGAAUAGCUGCCUUUUUACAUCAGGAAAGCAAACUCAAGCUAGUUAACUCCAUGGAAACCACAGUGAUGAGGGCCAGGUAGAUUUUACCUCAACGUACUGGUUGAAGACACUCCCUAUCUCCCCUGCUUGGGUUGAUGGAGAUUCCUGAUAGAAAGGACACACACUACCAUGACUCGCAGGACAAUGGAGUUGAUAGAAAGGACCACAGGAUCCACCCCAAAGACGGGCAGGCUUCAAAAGUGGGCAAAUCAUGUGUGGGAGCUGAGGGACUACAGUGUGCAAAAGAUGCAAACAGCCUUAACUCUCACUACCUGGGAACUGUCAAAAGAAUU